AGAACUUUCCAGAGAUGGAUUGGUGCCUUCGGGAACUCUGAGACAGGUGCUGCAUGGCUGUCGUCAGCUCGUGUUGUGAAAUGUUGGGUUAAGUCCCGCAACGAGCGCAACCCUUAUCCUUUGUUGCCAGCGGUUAGGCCGGGAACUCAAAGGAGACUGCCAGUGAUAAACUGGAGGAAGGUGGGGAUGACGUCAAGUCAUCAUGGCCCUUACGAGUAGGGCUACACACGUGCUACAAUGGCGCAUACAAAGAGAAGCGACCUCGCGAGAGCAAGCGGACCUCAUAAAGUGCGUCGUAGUCCGGAUUGGAGUCUGCAACUCGACUCCAUGAAGUCGGAAUCGCUAGUAAUCGUGGAUCAGAAUGCCACGGUGAAUACAUUCCCGGGCCUUGUACACACCGCCCGUCACACCAUGGGAGUGGGUUGCAAAAGAAGUAGGUAGCUUAACCUUCGGGAGGGCGCUUACCACUUUGUGAUUCAUGACUGGGGUGAAGUCGUAACAAGGUAAGCGUAGUGCU
This 517-nucleotide ribosomal RNA is filed under the name uncultured bacterium. RNAcentral describes it as "bacterial SSU rRNA". It matches the Rfam family "Bacterial small subunit ribosomal RNA", at positions 992 to 1509 of the family's 1533-position model. The record is from RNAcentral.